CCUACGGGAGGCAGCAGUGGGGAAUAUUGCACAAUGGGCGCAAGCCUGAUGCAGCCAUGCCGCGUGUAUGAAGAAGCCUUCGGGUUGUAAAGUACUUUCAGCGAGGAGGAAGGCAUUAAGGUUAAUAACCUUGGUGAUUGACGUUACUCGCAGAAGAAGCACCGGCUAACUCCGUGCCAGCAGCCGCGGUAAU
This 193-nucleotide ribosomal RNA is filed under the name gamma proteobacterium T11. RNAcentral describes it as "partial 16S ribosomal RNA". It matches the Rfam family "Bacterial small subunit ribosomal RNA", at positions 338 to 524 of the family's 1533-position model. Lineage: Bacteria; Pseudomonadati; Pseudomonadota; Gammaproteobacteria. The record is from RNAcentral.